RNAcentral lists this long non-coding RNA (644 nucleotides) under Manihot esculenta (cassava). RNAcentral's name for it is "long non-coding RNA (MESC_LNC008530)". The record is from RNAcentral. Lineage: Eukaryota; Viridiplantae; Streptophyta; Magnoliopsida; Malpighiales; Euphorbiaceae.
UGUUGAGGACUAAUGGUGACAAUUCCAUCCUUUAUGUGAUUAGCUGUGAUGUGUUGCAUUUCAUGAAAGCAUGAAUAAGAAAAAGAAAGAAAAAGUUAAAUAAUAUGAUAAAAUAAAAUAAAAUGAAUAAUAAUAAUAAAAUGAAUAAUAAUAAUAAAAUGAAUAAUAAUAUACCUAAAAAUGGAGGAAUUAAAGCAAAUGUUUUUAGUUUCUGCUCAUUGGGCUUUAUAGCUCACCCCCUCUCCCCUAACCCCAGUCUUGCAGGUGCAGAGUAGAUAGAGAAGUCAGCAGAGUAAGAGAAGUUUAUGUAAUAGCUUAGCUGUGGACAUGGUUUGUUGGUAAUGUAAAAAUAUGAGAUGUAAUGUAAUGUAAGUUUAAUAAUGUGCUUGACUAGAGUCUGUUGUAUUCCCUGUACACAUGGUCUUGUAUGAGAUAUAAUGUUUUUAUGAUGCCUAUGUUAUCCAAGCCUAUGUUAUGUUAUGUUACCCCAUUGGAGUAUUUGAUGAGGACUCCAAUGAGAGGUUUAUGUUAUGUUUGUGCAUGCACAGGCUAGGCUUGGCAAAGAAAUGUUUGAAUGAAAGAAAAGUUUUUAAUUUUUUUAUGUAUGUUGUUGACCAUGUAUGGGAUUAAACAGGUUCACAGGA